CGGCCAGGCGACGACCGGCGCACGGGUGAGUAUCGCGUUUGUAACCUACCUCUGACUGGAGGAUAGGGCGAGAGAAAUUCGGAUUAAUACUCCAUAAUACUAUGGACAGGCAUCUGUUCAUGGUUAAAGCCCCGGCGGUCAGAGAUGGGCAUGCGUGACAUUAGCUUGUUGGUGAGGUAACAGCUCACCAAGGCUACGAUGUCUAGGGGGUCUGAGAGGAUGGUCCCCCACACUGGUACUGAGACACGGACCAGACUCCUACGGGAGGCAGCAGUGAGGAAUAUUGGUCAAUGGGCGAAAGCCUGAACCAGCCAUGCCGCGUGAAGGAUGACAGCCCUAUGGGUUGUAAACUUCUUUUGUACGGGAAGAAACGCUUCUACGUGUAGAGGUUUGACGGUACCGUACGAAUAAGCAUCGGCUAACUCCGUGCCAGCAGCCGCGGUAAUACGGAGGAUGCAAGCGUUAUCCGGAUUUAUUGGGUUUAAAGGGUACGUAGGCGGGAGCUUAAGUCAGUGGUGAAAUCCUGCAGCUUAACUGUAGAACUGUCAUUGAUACUGGGCUUCUUGAAUGUAGUUGAGGUAAGGCGGAAUGUGUAAUGUAGCGGUGAAAUGCUUAGAUAUUACACAGAACACCGAUUGCGAAGGCAGCUUACUAAACUACGGAUUGACGCUGAGGUACGAAAGCGUGGGGAGCGAACAGGAUUAGAUACGCUGGUAGUCCACGCUGU
RNAcentral lists this ribosomal RNA (727 nucleotides) under uncultured organism. RNAcentral's name for it is "bacterial SSU rRNA". It matches the Rfam family "Bacterial small subunit ribosomal RNA", at positions 81 to 803 of the family's 1533-position model. The record is from RNAcentral.